RNAcentral lists this ribosomal RNA (543 nucleotides) under uncultured bacterium. RNAcentral's name for it is "bacterial SSU rRNA". It matches the Rfam family "Bacterial small subunit ribosomal RNA", at positions 777 to 1319 of the family's 1533-position model. The record is from RNAcentral.
AAUAGAUACCCUGGUAGUCCACGCCGUAAACUAUGGAUACGUAGGUGUCCGGAGUGUUAACCCUCUGGGUACCGCAGCUCACGCAUUAAGUAUCCCGCCUGGGGAGUACGGUCGCAAGACUAAAACUCAAAGGAAUUGACGGGGGCCCGCACAAGCGGUGGAGUAUGUGGUUUAAUUCGAAGCAACGCGCAGAACCUUACCUGGGCUUAACAUCCCCUGACAGCGGCAGAGAUGUCGUGUUCCCCUUCGGGGACAGGGAGAUAGGUGCUGCAUGGCUGUCGUCAGCUCGUGUCGUAAGAUGUUGGGUUAAGUCCCGCAACGAGCGCAACCCUUGUCCUUAGUUGCCACCAUUGAGUUGGGCACUCUGAGGAGACUGCCGGUGUUAAACCGGAGGAAGCGGGGAUGACGUCAAGUCCUCAUGGCCCUUACGUCCAGGGCUACACACGUACUACAAUGGCAGAGACAAAGGGUCGCGAAAGCCGUGAGGUGAGCCAAUCCCGAAAACNCUGUCUCAGUCCGGAUUGAAGUCUGCAACUCGACUUC